RNAcentral lists this ribosomal RNA (253 nucleotides) under uncultured haloarchaeon. RNAcentral's name for it is "partial 16S ribosomal RNA". The stretch from base 1 to 215 matches the Rfam family "Archaeal small subunit ribosomal RNA", at positions 1129 to 1343 of the family's 1478-position model. The record is from RNAcentral. Lineage: Archaea; Methanobacteriati; Methanobacteriota; Halobacteria; Halobacteriales; Halobacteriaceae.
GAACGGGCAACGGUAGGUCAGUAUGCCCCGAAUGAGCUGGGCUACACCCGGGCUACAAUGGUCGAGACAAUGGGUUGCUACCUCCAAAGAGGACGCUUAUCUCCCAAACUCGAUCGUAAUUCGGAUUGAGGGCUGAAACUCCCCCUCAUGAAACUGGAUUCCGUAGUAAUCCCAUUUCAAUAAAGUGCGGUGAAUACCUCCCUGCCCCUUGCACAAACUCUUUACUCUCCCUACUACUUUCCCAUUUUGUUUA